Gasterosteus aculeatus aculeatus (three-spined stickleback) is the source of this 581-nucleotide non-coding RNA. NCBI's taxonomy places the organism in Eukaryota, Metazoa, Chordata, Actinopteri, Perciformes, Gasterosteidae. The record is from RefSeq and is a predicted model, not a curated record.
GACACAAGUUAUGGGAAGAACUAUAAGGAAUGUCACCUCAAUGUCACUGCAGUGAAGGAUCGACCCGAACCUGAGACAACGAGUGACACCAGUCUGAGAAGGAUUGUUCUCUACUGUGUACUGGGACUGACAGCAGCUCUACUGGUUCCUUUAUUUCAUCUCUGCUUUGCAAACAAGACCAGUGAUCAGCAGAACAAACGAUACACCAGAAACACAAUUCAAGUUAUUGAUCCUUCAAGUGUUUGUACAGAAACAGUCUGAGUUGUUCUGACUGAAGUCAACGGGGUCGUUGUGGCGCAGAGGUUAGAGAAGGAAGUGUCAGGGAGACUGUGGGUUUAGAGUCCAACCAGAGGAUCAACGGUUCCAUCCCUGCUGACCCGCGUGUUGAUGAGCCCUUGAGCAAGACACUUAACCCAGCAUUGCUCCUGUAGCUGUGACCACAGAGUGAGAAUGGAGUGAAUAUUAGUUACUGACGGCAGGAAGAUGCUCAUCAGUGUGUGAGAGGAUCAAUGAUCUUAUAUAUUUAUAUAUAAUAUAUAAGACGUAAGUUGGAGGAAUGGAUGAAAAAGUGGACGUUAAAA